Molecule: long non-coding RNA, 1553 nt
Organism: Gallus gallus (chicken)
Lineage: Eukaryota; Metazoa; Chordata; Aves; Galliformes; Phasianidae
Source: Ensembl
GAGGACUUCAAUUCAUUUACACAAGUAUGAGGAAACCAGGAAAUUUAACACUAGCAUUGAGUGACUAAAUACAUAGCAUUUAGUGCCACGGUGGCAUCACACAAAUGCGAUAGAAUCAUUAUAAACCAUGAAAUGAAGGGAAAACUAGAAAAUUCAAAAUAGAACCAGCCAGCAUGCUGUGUCCAUCUUCAUGCCUGUUUCCUCUUCAUAUGGGCCACCAAGUCCAUCUCUGAGGGAAAUCUCCAAUCAGACACCUAGAUCAUCAGCUGCUGUGACUGCUGUGAAGGAUGUUUCAGCUGGACAUGAUUCCUUGGUUUUGGAAUGCUUUUCCCAUUUAUCAUGGAAAACCUCCAUUCUUCCCGAUUCCUUAUUUUUGCUGGGAUCUUCUUCAUCUACCUCCUCCUUUCAGAGACAAUUAUGAAAAUAACAGAAGAUUUGCCAUUUUACAUUUUAGGAUGAGACUUCAUUCCAUUACAGGAAGUACUUGUGAGGAAUGUACCACCUACAUCAGCUUCUAGCUGACUUGCUGCAUUUGCAGUAAAACCCUCUGUCAAUAAUUGCAUUCUGUGUUUUAUGAACUAAGAGUACAAGUCCCGAGCUUAGGAAUUUACUGAUGGCUCCAACAUGACCCCAUUGUCACACCUGCACCCAGCCCAAACCUUGGCAGUGGAGGAAGGUCCUCUGGCACGACUUAAAGAAAGCAGAAGACAUUGAAAGCAGGAAUAUCACAGGACAUCAAACAUACAAGAGCGCCAAGCAAACCUCUUUCUUCCAAAUGUGGUCUCUAGAAGAAGCCAAGUAGAGCUACAGUUCAGGUUUCACGUCAUCAAUGUGGAGCCUAUGGGAACCAAAGGUGACUUUAGAAUGGAUCUGCUGAUGCAACCCUGGGUUCUGUGUCUGUAACGCUCAGAGCUGAAGCCUGAGGGAUGAAGAACCCAGCUGUGCCACCCUACUUCGUUAAGGAGUAUUUACUCACUUUGAUUACUCUCAUAAGGAAGUGGAUUUUAGUUACUGGUUUGACAUGGAGCCUUCAGGAAGAGACACUCUAUUCUAAAAGCCUCUGCCAGGGCACAGCAUCUCCUGGUGCCUUCUCACCAUCCCUGGCCAACAUUCUCAUAAUCACAAGACAAGAAAUAUUCUUCCUUGGGACAGUCUAAAUGGUACAUAAAUCAGAACAGCUGAAUUAAGAUUUGAAAUGUGCUACUUCUAUCUCAAGCCCAAUGAAGAGCUGUGUGUUUGAGAAUUUGCCUAUUUUUUUUUCAUCUAAUAAAAGCUAUUUACUCUACCAGUGAAUCGGAAACCAAAUACCAAAUCUUUACUGCUUAAUAAAUACCAAAACCUAAAUAUUUUGCUAAUUACUUUUCCCAUUGAGCAGAUUAUAGGGGAUGUUGCUCAGCUCAUAUCAGUGAAAUACAGUACUUUACUGAUCUUGGAAAACUACUUGGAUUUGUUUUUUUUCCUGAGCUCUCCUUUCUCUUUCCAAAGGCCAGCUACAAACUUCCUCUGUUCUGAAACUUUCCCCCUGCAGACUGGACCAGAUGCAAUUAUUUCCU